Molecule: ribosomal RNA, 2367 nt
Filed under: Triticum aestivum (bread wheat)
Lineage: Eukaryota; Viridiplantae; Streptophyta; Magnoliopsida; Poales; Poaceae
Description: partial small subunit ribosomal RNA
Source: RNAcentral
CCCCCCCUCUCCCACCUACCAAACGUAUUAGGGUUUCUCCCAGGGUUUUUCCCCGCGCCGCCGCCACCCCGCUCCUCCGGAUCGCCGCCAUGGCAGCCGCCGCCGCCGCCGCCGACCAGGCUACGAAUUUGCUGCAGAAGCUAUCCCUUGAUGCCAAGGCUGAAGCCAUCGACGCGCCGGCGGCGAAGGAGAAGGCGUCCGGAGGGCUGGGCGGCAAGCUGAAUGGUGUGGCGGCGACUGGGAAGCCACGGGCGGCUGAGCAGUGGGCAAAUCCUCAGGAUUACAGCGAUGCAAGCAUGUAUUAUGGCGCCUACCCUGCUGCUUACUAUUGCGCAGGUUGGGGUGAUUAUUCCAUGUACUUGAAUCAGGAUGGAGUGGAAACACCUACCGCUGGUGCCUAUGGUGACAUGUACUGCUAUCCUCAAUAUGGGCAUGAUGGUCAGAUGUAUGGGUCACAGCAAUAUCAGUACCCAUCAUCAUACCACCAGCCCCAGAAUACUGCCAGUAAGCCACAAUACAAGUCUAAAACUGACAAGCUAGCCCCGUCAAAGGAUAUUUCCUCCACUGUUGCUGAUCCGCUGCAUGCCGUAGCCAGUGCUCCCAAAGCCACUGCAAACAGCGUUGAUGAGGUAAAAGGUCUGAAGAAGACAUCCACACCACUGAACCCAAGUGGGAACAAUGGUAGUUACCUGAACCAAAGUAGCAGACCAGCUUAUCCAUGGUACGGUGGCCAAAUCUACCAGGGAAAACAGCAGAAGCCUUCUAGUGGCAAUCCUACUUCAACUGAUUCAAAUCCUAAAAGCAAGGUUCAGUCGAAGAAUCAGAAUACUCAACCUCUUCCUCCUCUGAUGAGUUUACCUAACUCACCGGUGGCUUCAAUGUAUGCUGCUAAUGGAAUGUACAACAGCAAUGCCUACGGUGGCUUUUGGUAUGGAUCCCAGUUUUAUGGGCCAGGAAUGUAUGGUGGGUGGAAUAAUCUGUCGGAUGGAAAAUACAAGCCCCGAGGGAGGACAGCGUAUGGAUCGUAUGGAUUUCCCAAUGAAAACUUGGAUGGUUUGAAUGAGUUGAAGAGAGGACCACGGAGUGGACUCUCUAAUAACCAACAGGGCUUUGGACCUGCUGCUGCAACAGCUGUCAAAGCACAGGAUGUUUCUGCUACUGAUGGUUCUAAUGCAGUUGUGCAGGAUCAGUACAACGGGUCUGACUUAGCUGACACUUACGAAAAUGCCAAAUUCUUUAUUAUUAAGUCGUACAGCGAGGAUGAUGUUCACAAGAGCAUCAAGUACAAUGUUUGGGCUAGCACACCUAAUGGAAAUAAAAAGCUUGACAGUACUUAUCUGGAAGCUAAAUCUGUCAAUUCUCCUGUAUUCCUUCUCUUCUCUGUUAACACCAGUGGGCAGUUUGUUGGUCUCGCUGAGAUGGUUGGCCAGGUUGAUUUUGACAAGACGGUGGAACACUGGCAGCAAGACAAGUGGACUGGUUGCUUCCCUGUCAAGUGGCACAUUGUCAAGGAUAUUCCCAACAACUUGUUAAAGCAUAUCAUUCUCGAGUAUAAUGAAAACAAACCAGUGACAAACAGCAGAGACACACAGGAGGUCAAGCUCGAGCAAGGGCUUCAGGUGUUGAAGAUUUUCAAGGAUCAUGUCUCGAAAACAUCCAUCCUGGAUGACUUCAGCUUUUAUGAUAACCGUGAGAAGAUAAUGCAAGAGAGGAAAUCACAGCGGCAGCUUCAACUGAAGAAGAUCACGAGUCCGAAGUUGCUGCCUACUGUUGACAACACCGAAAAUGAUUCCGGCAAUGUGCAGGAAUCGCAGAAGCCUGAAGUUACCGGAGAGAACAAAUCUGCGGUGGAAGACAAUGUGGAGGCGGCUGCCGUGAGUGGCGUUGCCCCGAAAGAUGCUAACCCCACAGCCGCAAGCUUGGCUGUCGCAAAUGGCUGCUGAUAUUUUUGUCUGUUGAGUUGUGAGUAAGGUGACAUGACAGCUUGGGAGUUUUGGAGGAGGCUGGCGCAGUUCAACUGUUGGAGGCAAUCAGGGCUCUGUUGGGGUUCCGUAGGUGUUUUUGCAGAAAGUUUGAGGGAUAUGAUUAGGUGUCUCUUGAGAUUUCCCCCCUGUAUUAUUAUUUCUCUAUCUUGGAGUUGAGUUCGUCUGGUAGGAGAUAGAGAUCAUCAUUUGUUGAUCUGGGGUGGUGGUGUGUUGUCUUUUUUUAUCUUGUCGUCGGUAGAAAAUGUACCUAGGUGUGGUGAUUUGUACUGGUUUUGCAAGAAGUAACUUGUCUGUUUCAGUGUUUAUGUACUUCGUGCCAGAUGCGUCUCAUGUUUCCUUGAACAAUGUUCUGUGCGACUUUGGCCCACGUUGAGCUUUCUUU